GGGGAUCGGCCAAAAGGUGCUACAGUGCGGAAUCGGUCAAGUGGCUUUUACCUCGCUUCAGGGUGAACGCGCCAGGUUCCCAAUCGGCAAUCCUUUAAGAAAUCGGCCGAUCGGGAAGGUGUACUAAGGUAGGCCUGUAUGGGCUUGGAAAGAUGGAGGGAUAAGGUGGAAUUCGGCCCACAAAGCGUGGGGUAAUUAGUUUAGCACGGAUUGUGUUUGUAGAUAUUUGUUUUCUGUUUGAAUUAGAGAUAGAGUCCUAGUCGGUUAAGAAGAUUAUUUGUGCAGGGCUAUAAAUAGCUACCUUUGUAAAUCUGUAAACAGAACAAUCAAUCAAUACAACAAGUUACUUUCUUCUGCACAUCUACUUUUGAGCAGGCGACUUCGCCAUCAAUUUUCUUUCUCACGAGUUCGUACGGGUUGGCAGGGCUGCAUCGUCUUGAUCUCCGGCCGAUUCUGUAAGUUCCGUUUAUC
Molecule: long non-coding RNA, 471 nt
Filed under: Setaria viridis
Lineage: Eukaryota; Viridiplantae; Streptophyta; Magnoliopsida; Poales; Poaceae
Description: long non-coding RNA (SVIR_LNC005698)
Source: RNAcentral